This 2937-nucleotide long non-coding RNA is filed under the name Marmota monax (woodchuck). The record is from RNAcentral. Lineage: Eukaryota; Metazoa; Chordata; Mammalia; Rodentia; Sciuridae.
CGGCUCUGUCCUGCAGGACAUCCUGUCUGCUGAGUACUAGACACGAGUGCCUACUGUGUGCCAGGCGCUGGCCUGAGAGCCGCGGGCUGCGCAGGGCCAGCUGGUGACCUUCAGGCCGCUGCGAUGCCCCGGGGACAGGCCCCCAGUCUGCCCAGAGUGUGGCUGGGUAAACUGAGGCAGACUCUGCAAUCCUGCGCCCCAGGUGUGUCGGGGAGAGGUCCGGGUGGCCCUGGCCCCAUGGCCUCCCCGCUCUCCUGCCUGAGUCCCCGACCUGCCCGGCAGCCACUCCCUUCCGCUGGUUUCCAGGGCUGCAGGACGCCCCAGGCCUGGCGCGCGGCAGUCCACUCCCAAGAUGCACCGGGGCAAGGCACGCAGAGCCGAGAGUCACCCUCGUGCCACCGCCUCCCAGCAUCAGCCACCGUCCCCUGGACGGCUGAGCCGGCCCCAGGCCCCGGCUCUCAGGGACUGGAGACCAAGGGCUGCAAGAGACAGAGGCACAUCCUGCAGGGACAGGCGGAGGUGGCCAGGGCACGGUGGGGCACAGGGGGCAAGCCGGCCCAGGGGACGGGGCAGGCCGCUUCCGCAGCCAUGCUGAGCUGGGCCCCAAACGUGUCCCCUGGCCGUGGGUGACUUCACCCCAGCCUCAGUUUCUUCUGUAAGAUGAGCCAUGCCGACGUCCACCCUGGCUCAGGGCCACCCAGUCUCGAUCAUUGACCCUUUCCCCAGACUUCAGUCCUCGGGGACACCAAUGUGCUUCCGCAACGAUGUCACUUCAGGCUGUCCACUCUGUCGCUUCCUCGGCCUCUGGUGUCGCUGACUCCAAGCCGAGACUAGGGUUCGAUGAACAGACACAGGGGACAGUGGGGAGGCCGGCUCAGCCGGGGGUGGUGCUGCCCACCAGGGGUCUCUCACUCGCCAGCAGGUGCUGGUGAUCAGGUGCUCGGGACCCUCAGAGCGCCCACCUGGUGACUCCCUGGAAGCAGACUGAGAAAUGAACAGCUUGGGUGGACAGUGACGCCCGGCUUGCCCACUGCACGGAGCCUGGGACCGUCUGGCCCCCUGGUGAGAAGCUUGAGGCCCCAGGGGGCGGCCCAGAGCCCCCACCAUGGUGGUCCUGAAGGCAAGGCCAGCUGCGCCUCAGACCCUGCUUGUGACAUCCAGUACAGCCCUGCCCAGUGGACAGUCCAGGCAGCUGGCAGGAGGUAGAAGGUCCUGAUCUGUCACCACUGGGUCCCCAGGGAAGGCCCCGGAGCGCCCUGGUCUCCGGGUGCCGCAGGCAGUGCCUCUCCAGGCAGAAGCUGGGUUUAAGGGCCGGCCCAGCACCUCCAGCGGUGUGUCUUGGGGACUCCACGGCCCGUAAUCAUCCAGGAGCACUUGGGGUCGCUGUUAGCCAUCAGCCCUGCCACCUCCAAAGACAGCUCUUGUGGUUAAAAGGUGUCGCCAGAGGAGAUGCGCUGCAGUCCCCGCCCGGGGCCCCAGAGUGUGGCCUUGCGUGGAGACAGGGUUCUCAGAGGUCAGCGGUCAAAACGAGGCCUGGUCCCACAUGACUGGUGUCCUUACCCAAAGGGGACCCGGCACAGAGAGGCACCCGGAGGAGCUGGGAAGGUGCCGUCUGCAGGCCAAGGGCGAGGCCCAGGGGGCGCGAGGCCCACGGGUCCAUUCACCCUCCUCCGAGCCGGGGGCGGUGCUGACAGGCACCCCGGGAACCAUCCGGGUCUAGCCAAAACUCAGUGCGAGAAGCAGAGGGUCCCCGGGGGCUCCCGGCCGUGCUGUCCUGCUGCCCAGCGCGGGCACUGCAGUGCCUCCCCGCGAGGCUGCGCGGCCUCCUCCCUGGCUGGUGGGGGCUGUGGCCAGGCGGAGGUGACCGGCGGCCAGCAGGUUGCGCCCGGCAAGGCCCCAAGCGCCCCAGCAGGAAGCGGGACCGUCCGGCCUCCCUGAUCUGCUUGUUUUGCGGCGGGGAGCCCGCCAUGGCGGCGGAGGUUGUGCUUCACGUGUGCGAGGCCCUGGGGACCCUGACCUGGGUCAGUGUCCAGCGCGCGCGGGCACACGAUCACACACUCAUACUCACACUCACACACACACACACACACACACACACUCAGGCAAUGAUCCAGGCUCAUGGGAAAUGGCAAACUUAAUCCAGAGCUGUCCCUGUCCCCUGCGCCCGGCGUGUGUGUCCCCUGUGAGCGUGGAGCCCGCGGAGCCAAGGGAGCCGCAGACCUCGAGCUGCACAUGUCCAUCUGCCCCCUCACCCAGGGGCCCCAGCCCCCCACUCCCCGCGGGGCCCUCCACCACGCGGCCUCCUCCGGGUGUACGGAGCCGCCGCCCCGAGUGCGAGGCCUAAAGAAGCCCUUUUCCAGGACCGUGUGGACUGCCCGCCCCACUCGUGGGCAUUUCUCCACGAGAAGCUGAGCCGUCAUCCACGAGGGACCCCAGCAGACGCUCACGAUCCGGCCCACGAAGGACGCUCUUCUGCGAAAGCAGCGCCCUCGCAAAGACAGCAGCGCCAUGCCGCCGCCGGAGCAGGACAGGAAGGAUCCAAGUCAGGAUUCAGUUGUUCGAGCAGAGGCAAGGUCUGCAGGGCCGAAUCAGGGGAGGGGGCACCCUUGUGGCACCUGCAGAGGAGGCGAGCGAGUUCUCUCCUCACCCUCCUUUCUCAAAUUUGGGUUAUGGUAAAUGACCUGGGCUUAUACAUAUGCAAAUAUAUGCACUCACUUAUAUUAAAACAAUGAAGAAUAAGCCAAAAACUUGCAUUAAAGGUAGAAUAUGAUAGGUAAUGUCUUUGCCUUGCUUUUUGUCACAGAGCAUUUUGGAAGCCUUUCCCAUGAGUCCUCCUAACUGAUCCUUUUCACAGCUGUAUAAUACUCCCCUGUACAGUUGUACCUCGUCAAUUCAGUCCCCUUUACUUGUAUAUUUGGGAUUAAAGUAUUACCAAUA